RNAcentral lists this ribosomal RNA (210 nucleotides) under uncultured bacterium. Its description in RNAcentral is "partial 16S ribosomal RNA". It matches the Rfam family "Bacterial small subunit ribosomal RNA", at positions 795 to 1002 of the family's 1533-position model. The record is from RNAcentral.
CCACGCCGUAAACGAUGGGCACUAGAUGUUGCGGGUAACCACUCCUGCAGUGUCGCAGCUAACGCAUUAAGUGCCCCGCCUGGGGAGUACGGCCGCAAGGCUAAAACUCAAAGGAAUUGGACGGGGGCCCGCACAAGCGGUGGAGCAUGUGGUUUAAUUCGACACAACGCGAAGAACCUUACCUAGGCUUGACAUCCCGAUCGCACUCUA